GUAUCAGUACACGCCUUAACAAGGUGAAACCGCGAACGGCUCAUUAUAACAGCUAUAAUUUACUUGACCUUGACCAGUUACUUGGAUAACUGUGGUAAUUCUAGAGCUAAUACAUGCACCGAAGUUGUUCCUCACGGAGCAAUGCAUUUAUUUGAGCAAAACCAGGCGGCUUCGGCCGUUUCUGUUGAAUCAGAAUAACUAAGCUGAUCGCAUGGGCUUGUCCCGGCGACGUGUCUUUCAAGUGUCUGCCUUAUCAACUUUCGAUGGUAGUGUACGUGACUACCAUGGUGUUGACGGGUAACGGAGGAUAAGGGUUCGACUCCGGAGAAGGGGCCUGAGAAAUGGCCACUACGUCUAAGGAUGGCAGCAGGCGCGCAAAUUACCCACUCUCGGUUCGAGGAGGUAGUGACGAAAAAUAACAAGGCCGUUCUCUUUGAGGCCGGCCAUUGGAAUGGGUACAACUUAAACCCUUUAACGAGUAUCAAUGAGAGGGCAAGUCUGGUGCCAGCAGCCGCGGUAAUUCCAGCUCUCAAAAUGCAUAGAACCAUUGCUGCGGUUAAAAAGCUCGUAGUUGGAUCUGUGCCGGCGACGUGGUCCGCCCUAACGGGAGGUACUGCGCUCGUCGGCUUUGGGCCGGUUUUCGGUCGGUCGCCUUAACUGGCGGCCGCUCGUGGCUGGCUGGUUUACUUUGAGCAAAUCAGAGUGCUCAGCACAGGCGUCUCGCCGGAAUGUUCGUGCAUGGAAUAAUAGAAAAGGAUUUCGGUCCUCUUUUAUUGGUUUUGUGGACUGAGAUAAUGGUUAACAGAGACGGACGGGGGCAUUCGUAUUGCUGCGUGAGA
Molecule: ribosomal RNA, 839 nt
Filed under: Paratylenchus elachistus
Lineage: Eukaryota; Metazoa; Nematoda; Chromadorea; Rhabditida; Tylenchulidae
Description: SSU rRNA
Rfam family: Eukaryotic small subunit ribosomal RNA
Source: RNAcentral